GAUGAACGCUGGCGGCGUGCCUAAUACAUGCAAGUCGAGCGAACAGAUGAGGAGCUUGCUCCUCUGACGUUAGCGGCGGACGGGUGAGUAACACGUGGAUAACCUACCUAUAAGACUGGGAUAACUUCGGGAAACCGGAGCCAAUACCGGAUAAUAUAUUGAACCGCAUGGUUCAAUAGUGAAAGACGGUUUUGCUGUCACUUAUAGAUGGAUCCGCGCCGCAUUAGCUAGUUGGUAAGGUAACGGCUUACCAAGGCAACGAUGCGUAGCCGACCUGAGAGGGUGAUCGGCCACACUGGAACUGAGACACGGUCCAGACUCCUACGGGAGGCAGCAGUAGGGAAUCUUGCGCAAUGGGCGAAAGCCUGACGGAGCAACGCCGCGUGAGUGAUGAAGGUCUUCGGAUCGUAAAGCUCUGUUAGUAGGGAGGAACAAAUGUGUAAGUAAAUAUGCACGUCUUGACGGUACCUAAACAGAAAGCCACGGCUAACUACGUG
This 497-nucleotide ribosomal RNA is filed under the name uncultured bacterium. RNAcentral describes it as "partial 16S ribosomal RNA". It matches the Rfam family "Bacterial small subunit ribosomal RNA", at positions 28 to 507 of the family's 1533-position model. The record is from RNAcentral.